This 1536-nucleotide ribosomal RNA is filed under the name Comatella stelligera. RNAcentral's name for it is "16S ribosomal RNA". It matches the Rfam family "Bacterial large subunit ribosomal RNA". Lineage: Eukaryota; Metazoa; Echinodermata; Crinoidea; Comatulida; Comatulidae. The record is from RNAcentral.
AAUGAAGCUUUAUUUUUUUUUACUUAAUUAAAUAUUUUUUAUAUAUUUAAAAAUAAAAAAUUAAAAAAAAAAGUAUAAUUAUUAGAAAUAUAUUAAAUCUUAAAGCUAAAGAAAGUACUGUAAAGGAAACAUGAAAAUUAUUAAAAAAAAAUUUUUAAUAUAGAAAAAAUUAUAAAUUUUACCUUUUGUAUAAUGGUUUAACAACAAAGUGAGAAAAAAUUUUCUUUACCCGAAACCAAGAGAUCUAAUGAAAUCCCAACAUUUUGGUUGAAAAAGUAUUACUGUUGCAAAAGUAAACUAAGAGGUCUCAUUAGCCAUGAAAAAUGAAUCGAGCUUGGUGAUAGCUGGUUUUCUUUAAAAUGAGUAUUAGCUCAAGCUAUUAUUUAUGAUUUUUAAAAUUUUUCAUAAAAUUAUAAAGCUAAACCAAAAGGGAUAAGCUUUUUGGUUAAAGGAAAAAGCCUAUAAAAAUAGUAAAAGUCAAAAAAAAAGAAAUAAAAAAAAAAGUAUAGUAGGCCUAGAAGCAGUCAACUAAAAGAAAGCGUUAAAGCAUAACCUAUUUAUUAUUAAUAAUUAAUGAAAAAAUAACUUUAGCUUUUUUUUACAAAAGAAUAUUAUCUUUAAAAGAAAAAAAAAAAUGUUAAAAUAAGUACUUUUUUGGUUAAGUUAAACAUUAAUCACCUCUAACAUAAACUUUGGAAGAAUAAAAAAAACUUAUAACAAGAAAAAAUUUUUAUUUAUUGUUAACCCAACACUGGAAACCAAUUAAAAUUAAUAAAUAAAAGGAAGGAACUCGGCAAAAAAAAAUUCCGCCUGUUUACCAAAAACAUCGCUCCUUGAAAAAUUAUUAUAAGGAGUACCGCCUGCCCGGUGAUUCACAGAAUUUAACGGCCGCGGUAUCUUGACCGUGCAAAGGUAGCAUAAUAAUUUGCUCUAUAAUUGAGGGCUAGUAUGAAUGGCAAGACGAGAAUUUAACUGUCUCCCUUCUAAGAAAAGAAAUUAAUAUAUUAGUGAAGAAGCUAAUAUUUAAACGUAAGACGAGAAGACCCUGUCGAGCUUAAGAAAAUUUUUAUAAAAAAUUUUUAAAAAAUAAAAUAUUAUUAAAGAUUUUUUUUAAUAAAAAUAAUCUUUGGUUGGGGCAACCACGAAGAAAAAAUAACCUUCGAUAAAAAAAAGAAAUAAACAAAUUAAAAAAAGAAGACUUUAAAACAAAUCCGGAAAUUCCGAAUUAGAAAAAAGUUACCGCAGGGAUAACAGCGUUAUUCUCUUUGAGAGUUCAUAUUGACAAGAGAGUUUGCGACCUCGAUGUUGGAUCGAGGCACCCAAGAGAUGCAGAAGUCUCUAAAGGUAGGUCUGUUCGACCUUUAAAGCCUUACGUGAUCUGAGUUCAGACCGACGAGAGUCAGGUCAGUUUUUAUCUACGUUACUUAAGAACAAAUCCAAUUAGUACGAAAGGAAUUUUUGGAUUAAAGUUAAUUUUUCAAAAAAUACUUUAAAAAUAAAUCUGAAAAAAAAUAAAGAAAAAGUUACCUUAUUAGU